RNAcentral lists this ribosomal RNA (252 nucleotides) under Bacillus thuringiensis. RNAcentral describes it as "partial 16S ribosomal RNA". It matches the Rfam family "Bacterial small subunit ribosomal RNA", at positions 1 to 240 of the family's 1533-position model. The record is from RNAcentral. Lineage: Bacteria; Bacillati; Bacillota; Bacilli; Caryophanales; Bacillaceae.
UUUAUUGGAGAGUUUGAUCCUGGCUCAGGAUGAACGCUGGCGGCGUGCCUAAUACAUGCAAGUCGAGCGAAUGGAUUAAGAGCUUGCUCUUAUGAAGUUAGCGGCGGACGGGUGAGUAACACGUGGGUAACCUGCCCAUAAGACUGGGAUAACUCCGGGAAACCGGGGCUAAUACCGGAUAACAUUUUGAACUGCAUGGUUCGAAAUUGAAAGGCGGCUUCGGCUGUCACUUAUGGAUGGACCUGCGUCGCA